Molecule: small nuclear RNA, 104 nt
Organism: Euleptes europaea (tarantolino)
Lineage: Eukaryota; Metazoa; Chordata; Lepidosauria; Squamata; Sphaerodactylidae
Source: RefSeq, a predicted model, not a curated record
AUUCUUUGGCAGCACAUACACUAAAAAUUGGAACAAUAUGGAAAAUAUUAAAGUGGCCCCUGCACAUGGAUGACACACAAAUUCAUGAAGCAUUCCCUUUUUUU